GUGUAGCCCUGAUGGAAGUGGUAUCCUCUUGUAGAGUGCAACGGAACAAGAGAUAUAACGGACAGCAGGAGGAAAC
Molecule: small RNA, 76 nt
Filed under: Flavobacterium xanthum
Lineage: Bacteria; Pseudomonadati; Bacteroidota; Flavobacteriia; Flavobacteriales; Flavobacteriaceae
Description: Flavo-1 RNA
Rfam family: Flavo-1 RNA
Source: RNAcentral